RNAcentral lists this ribosomal RNA (307 nucleotides) under uncultured eukaryote. Its description in RNAcentral is "partial 18S ribosomal RNA". It matches the Rfam family "Eukaryotic small subunit ribosomal RNA", at positions 1470 to 1796 of the family's 1831-position model. The record is from RNAcentral.
CCCUUAGACGUUCUGGGCCGCACGCGCGCUACACUGACGAAGGCAACGAGCUACUCUUCACCGAAAGGUGUGGGUAAUCUUUUGGAACUUCGUCGUGCUGGGGAUAGAUCCUUGCAAUUUUUGAUCUUAAACGAGGAAUUCCUAGUAAGCGCAAGUCAUCAACUUGCGUUGAUUACGUCCCUGCCCUUUGUACACACCGCCCGUCGCUACUACCGAUUGAAUGGUUUAGUGAGGCCUUCGGAUCCGCGACUCGUUUGUGGAGAAGUUGGACAAACUCAGUCAUUUAGAGGAAGUAAAAGUCGUAACA